CAUGGGAGUCGAACGCCCCCAGCCACGUGGGGGCGUGGCGUACGGCUCAGUAGCACACGGCUAAUCUACCCUUGGGAGGGGUAUAACCCCGGGAAACUGGGGCUAAUACCCCAUAGACGAGCAACCCUGGAACGGGUGCUCAUCGAAAGGGCGUGGGAGCAUGCUUCCACGUCGCCCAAGGAUGAGGCUGUGUUCCAUCAGGUAGUUGGCUAGGUAACGGCUCGCCAAGCCGAUAACGGAUGCGGGCAGUGAGAGCUGGAGCCCGGAGAUGGGCACUGAGACAAGGGCCCAGGCCCUACGGGGCGCACCAGGCGAGAAACCUUAGCAAUGCGGGAAACCGUGACUGGGCUAUCCCGAGUGCCAGCCGCUAAGGCUGGCUUUUCCCCAGAGUAAAAACCUGGGGGAAUAAGCGGGGGGCAAGACUGGUGUCAGCCGCCGCGGUAAUACCAGCUCCGCGAGUGGUCGGGACGAUUAUUGAGCCUAAAGCGCUCGUAGCCGGUCCGGUAAGUCCUGUGCUAAAUCCAACGGCUCAACCGUUGGGCCGCAUGGGAUACUGCCGGGCUAGGGAGCGGAAGAGGCCAGGGGUACUCCCGGGGUAGGGGCGAAAUCCCAUAAUCCCGGGAGGACGACCAGUGGCGAAGGCGCCUGGCUAGGACGCGUCCGACGGUGAGGGGCGAAAG
This 680-nucleotide ribosomal RNA is filed under the name uncultured archaeon. RNAcentral's name for it is "bacterial SSU rRNA". It matches the Rfam family "Archaeal small subunit ribosomal RNA", at positions 50 to 710 of the family's 1478-position model. The record is from RNAcentral.